RNAcentral lists this ribosomal RNA (432 nucleotides) under uncultured bacterium. RNAcentral describes it as "partial 16S ribosomal RNA". It matches the Rfam family "Bacterial small subunit ribosomal RNA", at positions 29 to 506 of the family's 1533-position model. The record is from RNAcentral.
AACGAACGCUGGCGGCAUGCCUAACACAUGCAAGUCGAACGAGACCUUCGGGUCUAGUGGCGCACGGGUGCGUAACGCGUGGGAACCUGCCUUUAGGUUCGGAAUAACUCAGAGAAAUUUGAGCUAAUACCGGAUGAUGUCUUCGGACCAAAGAUUUAUCGCCUUUAGAUGGGCCCGCGUUGGAUUAGCUAGUUGGUGGGGUAAAGGCCUACCAAGGCGACGAUCCAUAGCUGGUCUGAGAGGAUGAUCAGCCACACUGGGACUGAGACACGGCCCAGACUCCGACGGGAGGCAGCAGUGGGGAAUAUUGGACAAUGGGCGAAAGCCUGAUCCAGCAAGGCCGCGUGAGUGAUGAAGGCCUUAGGGUUGUAAAGCUCUUUUACCCGAGAUGAUAAUGACAGUAUCGGGAGAAUAAGCUCCGGCUAACUCCGU